CCGUGCGACGACGGUUACUUUGCCCGAGCUUAGAGCCAUGGAUGACUUGGCCGACGCGGCGGAUUGACGUGUGGCUCAUGUUCUGCCCAUUGCAUCCAGUGAGUCCGAUGAGGAAGCUGAUAUGGGUGCGCUGGCUUCCUCUCCGUUACGGAAGCCAAAUAAAGCUGAAUUCGUGGCGGGGUAUGCACAGAUUCUACAAUUACGAGAGAUCAGUUCGUUCGAGCGCGCCGAACGACACAAACAUUUGGUAACGCUGAUGUACCACGCACAGCUAUACGAAUGGGAGGCGGUGCUUGCCUUCCAUGGAGCGGUUUUGCUUGAAAUCGAACGUGGCUUAUUGAAGUGGGGUGAUUCCUUUUCCCACCUCGAAAGCAGAACCCUCCAUGGUCAGCUACUUUCACCGCCGAAAAA
Nematostella vectensis (starlet sea anemone) is the source of this 411-nucleotide long non-coding RNA. RefSeq lists it as uncharacterized. The record is from RefSeq and is a predicted model, not a curated record. The transcript has 2 exons. NCBI's taxonomy places the organism in Eukaryota, Metazoa, Cnidaria, Anthozoa, Actiniaria, Edwardsiidae.